GAAAAAACGAGAAACCACGCGAGAAACCACACGAAACCAGCUUUGUGACGAUGAUACCCGAUCUGGUAACUGAAAAAGUAGAAGGCAACUACACCGCAAAUUUCCCCUCCUCACAAAACUGCUCCAAUAACAUGACCAAUAACUAACAUCCCUUUUGACCAAAAUGCCAGCCACAGGUGAGAACCCCUUGUAAGCAACAAUCUCUGGCAAACAUCACAAUCUGGUACACAAAACUGCUCCAANNNNNNNNNNNNNNNNNNNNACCCGAUCUGGUAACUGAAAAAGUAGAAGGCAACUACACCGCAAAUUUCCCCUCCUCACAAAAAUAACUAACAUCCCUUUUGACCAAAAUGCCAGCCACAGGUGAGAACCCCUUGUAAGCAACAAUCUCUGGCAAACAUCACAAUCUGGUACAAAUCUGAUUGUUGGUUAGCAAGGUCACCAAACCUAGCAAGGUCACCAAACCAGCAAAUGGCAAAAUCAAUUUAAAAAUUAAACCACCAAGAAUAUUCCCACUCCGCAAAAGAUAAAUAAAUAAAUAAGCAGGAACCCCUUAUAUGCAACAAUCUCUGGCAACAUCACAAUCUGACACAAACAAAUCAAUUUAAAAAUUAAACCACAAAGAAUAUUCCAGUCCCCAAAAGAUAAAUAAAUAAAGAAGCAGGCUCUGGUUCAGACAAUCUAAAACCACUGUCAAGUGUGAGGGCAUCAACAUCAAACUAAGCCAAACAUGAUACGACAUACACCAGCAAAGUGCACAACAAUCAAUACAAUCUCAACCCAAAUUGCACAACAAUCGAUACAAUCUCAACCCAUGCAAACCCUUGGAGCACUGCAACAACAACAGAAGCGACACUUAAAAUCUAACUAUCAAGUCUCAAGGCCAAAAAAAAAAAACACAAUAGAUAAAGGGCCCAGUUUCAAAAACAAGCGGGCAAUUGAGAAGACAAAAGUCAAGCAAAAGGCGACAGGAGGACAUAAGAGAGUUAAGAAAAACCAAGUUGAAACAAUACUAUAAAAGCCAUGAACGCAGACGUCGUUUGACAUCGUUUGCCCUUCAACUCUCACCACUGUGUAACAAACAGGCAAAAAAUAAUUCAGACGUCAUCAUCUGGUGAAACAGUACUAUCAAAAAGGUCAAAACAAUGCUUCAAAUCCCUCAUGGAAAAAAAAAUAAAAAAAAAUCUCCACCAAUACGUCUUCCAAGAACAAACACUGGUCACUAGACAGAAUAUAUACAAGAAAAAAACAGUUAUAACCUAAAAUGCUACCAGGUUAGACAUGCUCCCUCGAUAGAUAUCAUAUCCACCAUAUUAACAAACCAUUCGACAUGCUCCCUCGAUAGAUAUCAUAUCCACCAAUACGUCUUCCAAGAACUAACACUGGUCACUAGACAGAAUAUAUACAAGAAAAAAACAGUUAUAACCUAAAAUGCUACCAGGUUAGACAUGCACCCUCGAUAGAUAUCAUAUCCGCCAUAUUAACAAACCAUUCGACAUGCUCCCUCGAUAGAUAUCAUAUCCGCCAUACUCCGAACAUCAUCAACCUACGUGCCAGGACAGAUCAGAUAUUAACAAUCUUAACAAUCUUACACCUUAAUUCCAAGAUUUAUAAAACGAGCAAAUUGGUAAUCGAAAAUGAUUUUUGGGGAAGGGGUGGGGGGUGGGAAUUAACAAUCUUAACAAUCUUACACCUUAAUUCCAAUGACACUUUAGUUUUAAAUCUCGUCACAAAAAGCCGGACAACUAAGAAGACAAAACUCAGCAAAUGGUGAUAACCAUAUAUAUAAAAAUAUUAACAGCAUUUCUCCACAACUAAAGCACCCUCGUUUAUCAACAGUCUCGAAGAACAUUAAAUAACACAGUAUAUAUCCUACACAAAAUGUUCCUUUAAAAAAUAUAGAAAAAUAUUAACAGCAUUUCUCCACAACUAAAGCACCCUCGUUUAUCAACAGUCUCGAAGAACAUUAAAUAACACAGUAUAUAUCCUACACAAAAUGUUCCUUUAAAAAAAAAAAAGCUAAUUUACACAAUUCCACUACAGUAUAUAUCCUCCACAAAAUGUUCCUUUAAAAAAAAAAAAAGCUAAUUUACACAAUUCCACUACAGUAUAUAUCCUCCACAAAAUGUUCCUUUAAAAAAAAAAAAAGCAAAUUUACACAAUUGCACUCCCUAUUGGAAAACAUUAAAGGGAAAAACAACAGCAUGUCUUCUCCACAACUAAAGCACCCUCGUUUAUACAUAUAACAAUUCACCAUCAGAAUCACCAUCAGACGCCCGCAAAAAGUCAUCUCUUUCAAAUAUCGACAAGACCCCCUCUACAAAUCAUCUCUUUCAAAUAUCGAUAAUCCAAUUAAAAUAUAUGGAGACAACACAUUAUUUACAAGUGUCAAAAGAUAACUUAGAACAGGAAAAAAAAAAGGAAAAACAAUGCUAACUGACCUAAAAAACAAAAUCAUUCGGUGCGGAAGAACUCUCACCCUCAACCCAUAAAAGAUCAUAUCCUCCAAAAAGAAGUCCACCAAGAUGAUGAUAGCAUUCAUUCUAAGUUUUCUUUUUCUAGAAGGGAAAAAAAAGGAUGACUAGUGAAAAACUAGGGGGAAAAAAGAAAUUGAGAAAAUCCNNN
This 2625-nucleotide long non-coding RNA is filed under the name Elaeis guineensis (African oil palm). RNAcentral describes it as "long non-coding RNA (EGUI_LNC026981)". Lineage: Eukaryota; Viridiplantae; Streptophyta; Magnoliopsida; Arecales; Arecaceae. The record is from RNAcentral.